AUUACCUGGGGACCUUGUUAAAAUGCAGAUUCUGAUUCACCAGCUCUAGGGUAGGCGGGAGAGUGUGCAUUUCUAACAAGUUCCCGGGUGAUGCUGA
This 97-nucleotide microRNA precursor is filed under the name Loxodonta africana (African savanna elephant). RNAcentral describes it as "mir-544 microRNA precursor family". It matches the Rfam family "mir-544 microRNA precursor family". Lineage: Eukaryota; Metazoa; Chordata; Mammalia; Proboscidea; Elephantidae. The record is from Rfam by way of RNAcentral.